Mauremys mutica (yellowpond turtle) is the source of this 679-nucleotide long non-coding RNA. RefSeq lists it as uncharacterized. The transcript has 2 exons. The record is from RefSeq and is a predicted model, not a curated record. NCBI's taxonomy places the organism in Eukaryota, Metazoa, Chordata, Testudines, Geoemydidae.
GGACUGAGCGACAGAACGCAGCGGGACGGGAAGGGAUGGGGGAGAGCGAGGUCGGCGCGCGCCUCCCAGCCCAGGCGCGGCCGAGACCAGUGGAGACGCAGCCUGUAAGCAGGAGCUGUCCCACAGACACAACAUAAGCAGCAGCAGGAAGAAAUGACACAAGGUAGAAUAGUUGCUUAACAACUUUGAGCAGGAUCCUCUGAGAAUGCUCCAAAAUGAAGGACUCCCCCCAUAAUCCCCAAAGGUUGGCUUAACCCACGUUCCUGAGACCAAAACAGCCUGAGAGGAGAAGGAUCUACCGAACCAGGGGCCUGACCAACUACAGGCCCAAGACAGAGUAUGGCUGGGGCUACCUGAACAUGCACACUGCGCCUGAACAAGCAGUGGUUGAGAGAAAGAAGAGAACUGCUCGGUUGCUCUCAGCCACAAAGAUGAUAUCUGUGGCUCCACUAGCCAGGAAAGAACCAACUGCUAGCCAUGUGGCUUCCCUUGUACCAGGGGACCCCAAAGAGUGACCUCUCCAUUUCACAGUGAGAGAUACCCCACCUUCCUACCAAGCUCCAAGCACAAGGCUGAGUGUAUGGAUUUCCAUACUUUUCCCUUUCAUUCCUUAUUCCCACCCAUACCACUUCUAAUUUCACUCUAUCCUUUCCCUUUAUAAAAUGUUAGUUUCUUCUUA